CAUAGAGAGGUGGUGCUUUAACCGGAUAACUUUGUCCCAUUCUUUCUACUCUUUUAUCCCUUCCAAAAAAUGAUAUGUAAACGAGACCAGUCUUCGGUCACCGCUCGGCAGGAGCGCAUGCAUAACUAUUAAGACCGCUCGGCGCACAUUUAACAACAACAAAAAAUUUAAUUUUUAACAGAAAAAUAAACGGUGUCAAAUGUUCCUAAUUAAAAUUAAAUGGAUUCGCUAAUUAAUUUAAAACAAAAUACAUAAAAAAAAAUGUAUUUAAAAGAAGUGAGAUAAUUGAAUUGAAUACAAGAAACCAAAUUAUUAUUACUACUGCGAAAAGUAAGCAAUAAUAAUUACACAACACACACACACACACAAAAUUAAGAAGG
Molecule: long non-coding RNA, 380 nt
Organism: Bradysia coprophila
Lineage: Eukaryota; Metazoa; Arthropoda; Insecta; Diptera; Sciaridae
Source: RefSeq, a predicted model, not a curated record